RNAcentral lists this ribosomal RNA (260 nucleotides) under uncultured bacterium. RNAcentral describes it as "partial 16S rRNA". The record is from RNAcentral.
CCGCCCCCGCCCGCCUACGGGAGGCAGCAGGGUUUCGCUGUAUGGGAUAUUCAAAUAAUCCGACAAAGCCAGCCCGAAAGUGGUGACCUGAUUGUAGCCGCGUUCCCGAAAUCGCUUUUUGUGUAACGGAACCGGAAUAAUGUAAUCGAUAGUUUGCAGUACAGGCACUUGUUGCAAUUCAGCCGCAAACCAUUCGCCAACCACGGUUCCGACUUCUUGAUUGCCUUUGUAUUUGAGUUGGUGCAUCAUUUCCUGUACGA